CAAAGGCUUGGUCCUGACUUUACUAUCAGCUUUAACCCCAUUUAUACAUGCAAGCAUCCGCAUACCCGUGAGAAUGCCCUUAAUCCUCCGUCCGAGGACGAGGAGCAGGUAUCAGGCACAACAGCCAACUUAGCCCAAGACGCCUUGCUACGCCACACCCCCAAGGGACUUCAGCAGUAAUAAAUAUUAAGCCAUAAGUGAAAACUUGACUUAGUCAGAGUUAAAAGGGUCGGUAAAAUUCGUGCCAGCCACCGCGGUUAUACGAAAGACCCCAGUUGAUAUACGCGGCGUAAAGGGUGGUUAUGGGAAAAAUAAUAAAUAAAGCUAAAGACCCUCUAAGCCGUCAUACGCACCCCGAGGAUACGAAACCCAACCACGAAAGUAGCUUUAAACAUUCACCUGACCCCACGAAAGCUAAGAAACAAACUGGGAUUAGAUACCCCACUAUGCUUAGCCCUAAACUUAGAUGUAGCCUUACACACACAUCCGCCCGGGUACUACGAGCACAGCUUAAAACCCAAAGGACUUGGCGGUGUCUCAGACCCACCUAGAGGAGCCUGUUCUAGAACCGAUACCCCCCGUUAAACCUCAUCACUUCUUGUUUUUUCCGCCUAUAUACCGCCGUCGUCAGCUUACCCUGUGAAGGCUCAAUAGUAAGCAAAAUGGGCCCGCCCAAAAACGUCAGGUCGAGGUGUAGCGUACGAAGUGGAAAGAAAUGGGCUACAUUUUCUACAUACAGAAUAUUACGAACAGCACCUUGAAAUCAGGUGCCAGAAGGUGGAUUUAGUAGUAAAAAGCAAAUAGAGUGUACCUUUGAACUAGGCUCUGAGACGCGCACACACCGCCCGUCACUCUCCCCUACUACCCUCUUUAAUAAUACAUAAUAAAUUAAUUAUAAAUACGGGGAGGCAAGUCGUAACAUGGUAAGUGUACCGGAAGGUGCACUUGGAAUAAC
Molecule: non-coding RNA, 955 nt
Filed under: Sperata aor (long-whiskered catfish)
Lineage: Eukaryota; Metazoa; Chordata; Actinopteri; Siluriformes; Bagridae
Description: 12S ribosomal RNA
Rfam family: Bacterial small subunit ribosomal RNA
Source: RNAcentral